This 458-nucleotide ribosomal RNA is filed under the name uncultured bacterium. Its description in RNAcentral is "partial 16S ribosomal RNA". It matches the Rfam family "Bacterial small subunit ribosomal RNA", at positions 338 to 795 of the family's 1533-position model. The record is from RNAcentral.
CCUACGUGUGGCUGCAGUGAGGAAUAUUGGAUAAUGGGCGAGAGCCUGAACCAGCCAAGUCGCGUGAGGGAGUACUUCCCUAUGGGUUGUAAACCUCUUUUGUCGGGGAGCAAAAGCCGGACGUGUCCUACUGUGAGAGUACCCGAAGAAAAAGCAUCGGCUAACUCCGUGACAGCAGCCCCGGUAAUACGGGGGAUGCGAGCGUUAUCCGGAUGUAUUGGGUUUAAAGGGUGCGCAGGCGGAUUUUUAAGUCAGCGGUCAAAUCGUGGGGCUCAACCCCAUCCAGCCGUUGAAACUGGGGAGCUGGAGUGUGCGAGAGGUAUGCGGAAUGCGUGGUGUAGCGGUGAAAUGCAUAGAUAUCACGCAGAACCCCGAUGGCGAAGGCAGCAUACCGGUGCACAACUGACGUUCAGGCACGAAAGCGUGGGUAUCGAACAGGAUUAGAUACCCUGGUAGUC